RNAcentral lists this unclassified non-coding RNA (312 nucleotides) under plant metagenome. RNAcentral describes it as "partial contains 5.8S ribosomal RNA, internal transcribed spacer 2, and large subunit ribosomal RNA". The stretch from base 1 to 105 matches the Rfam family "5.8S ribosomal RNA", at positions 50 to 154 of the family's 154-position model. The record is from RNAcentral.
GAAAUGCGAUAAGUAAUGUGAAUUGCAGAGUUUUGUGAAUCAUCGAAUCUUUGAACGCACAUUGCGCCCCUCGGUAUUCCGACGGGCAUGCCUGUCCGAGCGUCAUUACGCACCCUCAAGCCCGGCUUGUGUGAUGGGCCCCGGCGUCUCGUUCGCGAGACGGGCCCGAAAGGCAGCGGCGGCGUCGACCCGAUGAGCCCGAGCGUAUGGGGACUUCUGUCACACGUUCGCGGUGCGGACCGGCGCCUGCUUGACUUUUCUGAUUAUCCAGGUUGACCUCGGAUCAGGUAGGGAUACCCGCUGAACUUAAGC